This 301-nucleotide ribosomal RNA is filed under the name uncultured bacterium. RNAcentral describes it as "partial 16S ribosomal RNA". It matches the Rfam family "Bacterial small subunit ribosomal RNA", at positions 509 to 809 of the family's 1533-position model. The record is from RNAcentral.
CAGUAGCCGCGGUAAUACGAAGGGUGCAAGCGUUACUCGGAAUUACUGGGCGUAAAGCGUGCGUAGGUGGUCGUUUAAGUCCGUUGUGAAAGCCCUGGGCUCAACCUGGGAAUUGCAGUGGAUACUGGGUCACUAGAGUGUGGUAGAGGAUAGUGGAAUUUCCGGUGUAGCAGUGAAAUGCGUAGAGAUCGGAAGGAACAUCUGUGGCGAAGGCGACUAUCUGGGCCAACACUGACACUGAGGCACGAAAGCGUGGGGAGCAAACAGGAUUAGAUACCCCCGUAGUCCCUGUCUCUUAUAA